UAUGUUCCCCGGUGAGACUUGAGCCGUUGCUUUUAGCUCCUUUUGCAGCUUUCGCAGGAUGCUCUCAGCAACACAAACAAUGACAACGAGGUGAGGACGGAGUGACGACACCAGCCGCACAAGUUCCAAGCGGCUGUAUGGGGCAUCAAAUCACUCUCCUAAUGACAUGUCCAGAGGCUACCUGCAGGAAAAGUGACAUUUUAUCUUCCAACCGAAGCAUCUGAUUGGACAUUGGACGGAAAAGCAAAAAAAAUUGGAUACUGUUUAUUUUUUUUAUUAUUUUUUUUAACUUGUGGAAUUCAUCUUCCUGUGUUUGUGGCUUCAAACAGUAAUCUCUAUUUUCCUUUUGUUCUUAUUUCUGUUUAAUAUAUAUGUAUAUUUUUGUUUCUUUGAUUUUCUUUAGUUUGGGUAACAUAAAUGUCAUCGAGAUCUGUGAGCGUGUUUUGAAACCAUUAGUGUUGUUGUACAUGGAGAGCAAAUGUCCUAGAAUGACAAAAGAUCUCGUGAUUUCAUAUAAAAAAUGUUGCUAAAUCAACAAUUUUAUGUGACAUGAAGGCAAACUGCGAUAUCAUAGGCCUAAGAAACAUAAACGUGAGGAUCUUAUGAAAACAUGUAUUUUCCGAGCCCUUUUUCGAUUCUGGUCUUUUCAUCUUCUCUGUAAUGAGAUAGUCUGAAAAACUAAAGGUCAUUUUUUAUCUGCA
Non-coding RNA from Gasterosteus aculeatus aculeatus (three-spined stickleback), 701 nucleotides. The record is from RefSeq and is a predicted model, not a curated record. Lineage: Eukaryota; Metazoa; Chordata; Actinopteri; Perciformes; Gasterosteidae.